ACCGGCGCACGGGUGCGUAACGCGUAUGCACUUACCCAUUACUGGGGGAUAGCCCGGGGAAACUCGGAUUAAUACCCCAUAGUAUGGCAUCUGUAAAGAUUUAUUGGUAAUGGAUGGGCAUGCGUCUGAUUAGUUAGUUGGUGAGGUAACGGCUCACCAAGACGAUGAUCAGUAGGGGGUCUGAGAGGAUGAUCCCCCACACUGGUACUGAGAUACGGACCAGACUCCUACGGGAGGCAGCAGUAGGGAAUAUUGGUCAAUGGGCGAGAGCCUGAACCAGCCAUGCCGCGUGCAGGAUGACGGCCUUCGGGUUGUAAACUGCUUUUCUACAGGAAGAAAAAGCCCUUGCGAGGGAAAUUGCCGGUACUGUAGGAAUAAGCACCGGCUAACUCCGUGCCAGCAGCCGCGGUAAUACGGAGGGUGCAAGCGUUGUCCGGAUUUAUUGGGUUUAAAGGGUGCGUAGGCGGGUCUUUAAGUCCGUGGUGAAAGCCCAUCGCUCAACGAUGGAACUGCCAUGGAUACUGGAGGCCUUGAAUUCAGUUGAGGUAGGCGGAAUUGAUGGUGUAGCGGUGAAAUGCAUAGAUACCAUCAUGAACACCGAUUGCGAAAGCAGCUUACUGGGCUUGAGUUGACGCUGAGCACGAAAGCGGGGGAAGCGACAGAUAGGAUACCCUGGUAGUCCCCGCCGU
This 689-nucleotide ribosomal RNA is filed under the name uncultured bacterium. RNAcentral describes it as "bacterial SSU rRNA". It matches the Rfam family "Bacterial small subunit ribosomal RNA", at positions 94 to 803 of the family's 1533-position model. The record is from RNAcentral.